RNAcentral lists this long non-coding RNA (522 nucleotides) under Chlamydomonas reinhardtii. RNAcentral's name for it is "long non-coding RNA (CREI_LNC000902)". The record is from RNAcentral. Lineage: Eukaryota; Viridiplantae; Chlorophyta; Chlorophyceae; Chlamydomonadales; Chlamydomonadaceae.
CGGGGCGAUCUGCGAGCUAGCGUACUGCAGCGAGAGGUUCGUCAUCGCGCUGUCGUUCAGGAAAAUCAUCACUGCCGAGUACAGGCCAAUCUUUAGCUGGUUGCUGUCCGCCUGCUCGGGCGCCGGGUUCUUCACCAUGAGCAGGUCCAGGGGCUGGAGCAGACCGCGCGCGAGGCUGACGUGCGUCUCCACAUUUAGGUUGAAGUUCACGGCAAACAGCAUGGCCUGCUCGGCCAGCACCACCGCGUCCUUGAACUGCUCCAGCGUGGUCUGUAUGACACACGGCGAGGAGAAGGCCGCGCCGUUGGGUCAGUGGCAAGCGCGGCGAGCAAGGCCACAGCCCGCUGCCGCAGCAUCGCCCAGACCCAACGUUACCCAACGGAACGUCCGCAACCCGCAAAAAUCUAAACCGGUAUGGGACCAUGCGGCCCGCUGACACGGUGGUAUUUCUUGCGGCAUGCUAAGCACACGCCCUACGCAUCUUCGGGAACCUAGCUUCUGGACGCGCCAAACACCGACCUG